CUUGCUUUGAACUGUUUUAGUGGCGGACGGGUGAGUAACGCGUGAGGAACCUGCCUUUCAGAGGGGGAUAACGUCUGGAAACGGACGCUAAUACCGCAUGACAUUUUGUUGCCGCAUGGUGAUAAAAUCAAAGGAGCAAUCCGCUGAGAGAUGGACUCGCGUCCGAUUAGCCGGUUGGCGGGGUAACGGCCCACCAAAGCAACGAUCGGUAGCCGGGCUGAGAGGCUGAACGGCCACAUUGGGACUGAGACACGGCCCAGACUCCUACGGGAGGCAGCAGUGGGGGAUAUUGCACAAUGGAGGAAACUCUGAUGCAGCAACGCCGCGUGAGGGAAGAAGGUUUUCGGAUUGUAAACCUCUGUCCUCAGGGACGAUAAUGACGGUACCUGAGGAGGAAGCUCCGGCUAACUACGUGCCAGCAGCCGCGGUAAUACGUAGGGAGCAAGCGUUGUCCGGAUUUACUGGGUGUAAAGGGUGCGUAGGCGGCACUGCAAGUCAGGUGUGAAAACCAUGGGCUUAACUUAUGGAUUGCACUUGAAACUGUGGUGCUUGAGUGAAGUAGAGGCAGGCGGAAUUCCCGGUGUAGCGGUGAAAUGCGUAGAGAUCGGGAGGAACACCAGUGGCGAAGGCGGCCUGCUGGGCUUUAACUGACGCUGAGGCACGAAAGCAUGGGUAGCAAACAGGAUUAGAUACCCUGGUAGUCCAUGCCGU
Molecule: ribosomal RNA, 711 nt
Filed under: bacterium enrichment culture
Lineage: Bacteria
Description: bacterial SSU rRNA
Rfam family: Bacterial small subunit ribosomal RNA
Source: RNAcentral